This 253-nucleotide ribosomal RNA is filed under the name uncultured bacterium. Its description in RNAcentral is "partial 16S ribosomal RNA". It matches the Rfam family "Bacterial small subunit ribosomal RNA", at positions 524 to 776 of the family's 1533-position model. The record is from RNAcentral.
UACGAAGGGGGCUAGCGUUGCUCGGAAUCACUGGGCGUAAAGGGUGCGUAGGCGGGUCUUUAAGUCAGGGGUGAAAUCCUGGAGCUCAACUCCAGAACUGCCUUUGAUACUGAAGAUCUUGAGUUCGGGAGAGGUGAGUGGAACUGCGAGUGUAGAGGUGAAAUUCGUAGAUAUUGGGUGGAACACCGGUGGCGAAAGCGGCUCUCUGGUCCGGACCUGACGCUGAGGCGCGAAAGCGUGGGGAGCAAACAGG